CACCCUGGGGUCUAUCCCACCCCUAAAUGACCUUGGCUAGGGUUUGGGUUGCUUUGUUAGGGAAAGAAAAGUGGGGAGGUAAAUCCUGCUGGGAACAGUGUGUGGGGAGCAUCCCCCAGCCCUGCUCCUUCAAGAAGUCCCAUGUCCCACCUGGCUGUGAAAUGUCACCUUUUCUGUAUUCUGGACACUGCACAGAGCCAUUUGUAUGGGUGAUGUAAAAUCCCUGCAGGCAUCCUGGAGUUUGCUGGGAAAAAUUCCAGAGCCCUGCUAGAGAUGCCACGAAGCUCCUGCAUCUUCAGAGAGCAGAAACAAUGAGCUGGGGUUUGUGCUGCUCCAGCAGGAGAGACGACCUGAAGUGUAAAUUAAAGUCACCAACCUCAGAGUGCCGUGGCACACCAAUGGUGGGCACUGCAAGGAGGAGAUGCCACACGCCUGACUGAGCAUCUGACAGACACAGAUGUGGAAGAGAAAGUUUUGGAGUCCCUGACUUCUCAAAGCCUGUCAGAAGAAUCAUUUUUCCCCCAAUUUCAGUCAAUUGCUGCCUGACAAUUGAAAAGCAGGGAUUCAGAGAGCGUUCACCCACGCUGGUGCCUGAUCCCCAGUGCUCUGCAGCCAUUUCCUUGGAAUGAAAAGGAAAAGUACACAUAUGAAGCACCAACUGGAGUUUGUUAAACAUGGAGCAUAUGUGUUAUUUAGAUUUGGAAUGUGGUGAGGUUAUGAAGCUAUUCUUGGGAAAGAAGACAAAUAAAUUGCUGGUACAUCAAAAUAAUUUGUAACAAAUAGAUUCAUGGAAAGCUUGCUGGAAAUGGGGCAUGAGGCACAUGAGAGAGCCCUGAAAUUCAGCUUCCAACUGGAGCUCCUCCAUCCUGCAGUGAUGGAAUUUGAGGAGUGUGAUUAAACACAGGGCUUGCUAAUGGUUGGUAAAGGGUUUUAAUUUAUUUUUGAUGGACUUUGCAGCCUCCUGAGUGUGAGUUGGAAUCAGACUUUCAGUUCUCACCAGCGUUAUUGAGUCUGAACUCAGAAUUGCUCAGUGAGGAGUGAAUUCCAGAUUAUUUAAUAUAAACUCAGAAUUCCACUGAAGUAUUGUGGUCUAGGCUUACCUGUCUGUGUGAUUACCAAAACUGAUGGCAAAACUCAGAAUGCAACGUGAAUUCAAUUUUUAUUGUACAAGAGGGGGGCAAAAAAGAUGCCAAAGGCUGCCCCCAACCCAAAUAUUGUACAGUGCAUAUCAAAUGAGAUCUGAACAUCAGUGAUUACAUUUUUAGUAGGAUGAGUGUUCUGACUGAAAUGCAUCAAUCUGUCACUUGGCCUUUCUGUGACAUUCAGUGCAUUGAAAUUACCAGGCAAAGAUUGCUUUUUGACAUGCUAAAUUAACUGAGUUGGAAAU
This is a long non-coding RNA of Passer domesticus (house sparrow), 1387 nucleotides long. RefSeq lists it as uncharacterized. The transcript has 3 exons. Lineage: Eukaryota; Metazoa; Chordata; Aves; Passeriformes; Passeridae. The record is from RefSeq and is a predicted model, not a curated record.